GAAAGUAAGCAAGGGCAGACGGUGGAUGCCUUGGCUCUCGGAGGCGACGAAGGACGUGAUAAGCUGCGAAAAGCCCGGGGGAGGCGCAAAUAGCCGUUGAUCCCGGGAUAUCCGAAUGGGGCAACCCGGCAGGUUGAAGGCCUGUCAUCCCGUAAGGGAGGCGAACGUGGGGAACUGAAACAUCUAAGUACCCAUAGGAGGAGAAAAUAAACAAUGAUUCCGUAAGUAGUGGCGAGCGAACACGGAAGAGCCCAAACCCGUGGCGUCUAGGCGACACGGGGGUUGUAGGACCACGACGUGGCAAGAUAGAGUCAAGUGGAACGCCUUGGAAAAGGCGGUCAUAGAGGGUGAAAACCCCGUACACGACUGACGAUUGAAGCCUAGUGGUAUCCUGAGUAGCGCGGGGCACGAGAAAUCUUGCGUGAAACAGCGGGGCCCAUCCCGUAAGGCUAAAUACUCCCGAGAGACCGAUAGCGAACCAGUACCGUGAGGGAAAGGUGAAAAGAACCCCGAGCAGGGGAGUGAAAUAGACCCUGAACCCGUCUGCCUACAAGCGGUCGGAGCGUUGUUAUGACGUGACGGCGUGCCUUUUGCAUAAUGAACCUACGAGUUACCUUCCCCGGCAAGGUUAAGUACCUAAGGUACGGAGCCGAAGCGAAAGCGAGUCUGAAUAGGGCGGCCAGUCGGGGGGGGUAGACGCGAAACCGAGUGAUCUACCCUUGGCCAGGUUGAAGGUUGGGUAACACCAACUGGAGGACCGGAUGGGUAAGCGUUGAAAAGCUUUCCAAUGAGCUGAGGGUAGGGGUGAAAGGCUAAUCAAACUCGGAGAUAGCUCGUACUCCCCGAAAUGCAUUUAGGUGCAGCCUCUUUAUAGUAUAUCGUGAGGUAGAGCGACUGAUUGGAUGCGAGGGCUUCACCGCCUAUCAAGUCCAGAUAAACUCCGAAUGCGCGAUAUAUAUUUACAGGGAGUGAGGGCGCGGGUGCUAAGGUCCGUGUCCGAGAGGAGAAGAAUCCAGACCACCGGCUAAGGCCCCCAAAUGAUCGUUGAGUUGAACUAACGAGGUCGGAUCGCAGAGACAGCUAGGAUGUUGGCUUGGAAGCAGCCAUUCAUUUAAAGAGUGCGUAACAGCUCACUAGUCGAGCGAUCUGGCGUGGAUAAUAAUCGGGCAUAAACGAUCUGCCGAAGCCGUGGAUGUCGUAAGACAUGGUAGGGGAGCAUUCCAUGCGGCGUCGAAGAUGAGGGACGACCCUUGUUGGAGCGCAUGGAAAAGCAAAUGUAGGUAUGAGUAACGAUAAGGGGGGCGAGAAACCCCCCCGCCGAAAGACCAAGGUUUCCUGAUCAACGCUAAUCGGAUCAGGGUGAGUCGGGACCUAAGGCAAAGCCGAACGGCGCCGCCGAUGGAAGAAUGGGUUAAUAUUCCCAUACUGCCUCAUGGAGUGACGUGGAGACGGAGAAGUGACAGUCCUGCCGGCUGACGGAAUAGCCGGUUGAAGGGUGUAGAUAUUGAUUCCCGUAGGCAAAUCCGCGGGGAGAGUCGAACCUGAGAGUAUACGGAGCGCUUGCGCGACGUAAUAUGGACGUAACCAUGCUCCCAAGAAAAUCCGCUAAACUUAUCCAUGCGGCACCCGUACCGUAAACGGACACACGUGGUCGGGUUGAGAAUACUGAGGCGCUCGAGUGAUUCACGGUUAAGGAACUAGGCAAAUUGACCCUGUAACUUCGGGAUAAAGGGUCCCAACGAGAGUUGGGCGCAGAGAAUAGGUCCAGGCAACUGUUUAACAAAAACACAGGGCUGUGCCAAAUUGAAAGAUUACGUAUACAGCCUGACACCUGCCCGGUGCUGGAAGGUUAAGAGGAGAUGUCAUCGCAAGAGAAGCAUUGAAUUGAAGCCCCAGUAAACGGCGGCCGUAACUAUAACGGUCCUAAGGUAGCGAAAUUCCUUGUC
RNAcentral lists this ribosomal RNA (1946 nucleotides) under metagenome. RNAcentral's name for it is "bacterial LSU rRNA". It matches the Rfam family "Bacterial large subunit ribosomal RNA", at positions 1 to 1973 of the family's 2925-position model. The record is from RNAcentral.